GGGGAAUAUUGGACAAUGGGCGCAAGCCUGAUCCAGCCAUGCCGCGUGGGUGAAGAAGGCCUUCGGGUUGUAAAGCCCUUUUGUUGGGAAAGAAAAGCAGCCGGCCAAUACCCGGUUGUUCUGACGGUACCCAAAGAAUAAGCACCGGCUAACUUCGUGCCAGCAGCCGCGGUAAUACGAAGGGUGCAAGCGUUACUCGGAAUUACUGGGCGUAAAGCGCGCGCAGGUGGUUUCUUAAGUCUGAUGUGAAAGCCCACGGCUUAACCGUGGAGGGUCAUUGGAAACUGGGAGACUUGAGUGCAGAAGAGGAAAGUGGAAUUCCAAGUGUAGCGGUGAAAUGCGUAGAGAUUUGGAGGAACACCAGUGGCGAAGGCGACUUUCUGGUCUGCAACUGACGCUGAGGCGCGAAAGCAUGGGGAGCAAACA
This 426-nucleotide ribosomal RNA is filed under the name uncultured bacterium. RNAcentral's name for it is "bacterial SSU rRNA". It matches the Rfam family "Bacterial small subunit ribosomal RNA", at positions 356 to 774 of the family's 1533-position model. The record is from RNAcentral.